UUUAGAUAUGGUGAUAUGGUGCCCUCAACAAUAAUGGGAAAGGUGGUGGGAGGAAUCUGCUCCCUCUCGGGGGUUCUCGUCAUUGCACUUCCUGUUCCAGUCAUUGUCUCAAAU
Molecule: non-coding RNA, 114 nt
Organism: Echinococcus granulosus
Lineage: Eukaryota; Metazoa; Platyhelminthes; Cestoda; Cyclophyllidea; Taeniidae
Source: Rfam